ACGUAGGGGGCGAGCGUUGUCCGGAAUGACUGGGCGUAAAGGGCGUGUAGGCGGCUUUUUAAGUCUGGAGUGAAAGCCCCAUUUUCAAGGUGGGGAGUGCUUUGGAGACUGGAGAGCUUGAGUGCGGAAGAGGUAAGUGGAAUUCCCAGUGUAGCGGUGAAAUGCGUAGAGAUUGGGAGGAACACCAGUGGCGAAGGCGACUUACUGGGCCGUAACUGACGCUGAGGCGCGAAAGCGUGGGGAGCGAACAG
RNAcentral lists this ribosomal RNA (251 nucleotides) under uncultured bacterium. RNAcentral describes it as "partial 16S ribosomal RNA". It matches the Rfam family "Bacterial small subunit ribosomal RNA", at positions 525 to 775 of the family's 1533-position model. The record is from RNAcentral.